Molecule: small RNA, 82 nt
Filed under: Flavobacterium sp. A45
Lineage: Bacteria; Pseudomonadati; Bacteroidota; Flavobacteriia; Flavobacteriales; Flavobacteriaceae
Description: Flavo-1 RNA
Rfam family: Flavo-1 RNA
Source: Rfam by way of RNAcentral
UCCUAGCCCUGAUAGAAGCGGUAUCCUUUUUUGUCUCGUUUUUAUGAGACAAAAAAGAUACAAGCGGAUAGCAGGAAUCAGC